Molecule: long non-coding RNA, 2161 nt
Filed under: Cottoperca gobio
Lineage: Eukaryota; Metazoa; Chordata; Actinopteri; Perciformes; Bovichtidae
Description: lncRNA (ENSCGOG00000008967.1)
Source: RNAcentral
CUCCAGUCGGAGCUGAUGGAUGUGGCCCGGAGAAAAGUAUAUGUAUGGAUAUUAGACCUUCUAUACAUCUAAAACAAUUUUCUGAAGGUUUAUAUUUGUAUACAUUUAUAGCCUACUUGUAGGUGGCCUAGUGUUUUAUGUGAACGUCAUCAUGACUUUACAGAUCGAGUGACAUAAUUGUAGGUGUGUAUUGAGUGGGAGGAGCAUACAUCGGCAUUAUUUAUACAGGCCUGUCUUCUUUUAUCGGCAUCACUCUGAUGACCCAAACACGCUCCAAGAUGAUCCCUCUUUUUGCUUUGGGUUACAUUCUAUUAGUUUGGCUGAUUUGCGGCUUCACCAAUGUUUCUGGGGCUACGGUGGGAGCUACAGAAGCCUAUAAAAACAACUGCUGCCGAAAAACCUGGAUGGAAAUAGGGUAUGACAUCCGCAAGGCCGUAUGCUGUGAGAAUCAUCUUUAUCCAGGGGCAGAGCGGUCACGCUGUGGAGGGCAGGCUUUCAACCCUGAAGAAGACACUUGUUGUAAAGUAGAAAAUGGAUACACCAAAACAGCUGUUACAGAGGGUCUUAGCGAAAAGGUGUCAUCUUGCUGUGGACUGAAGGCCUACAACCCACUCAAUGAAAUAUGCUGUCAGUCAACCGUCGUAGCCAAACCUGCGCCAAAGGCCCACUGUUGUGGUCAGGAGGCUUUUGAUGUGGACAAGCAGCUGUGUUGUGGUCCGACCCAUAACAAGACGAUCCUGACGAGAUAUUCCAGUGACCACCUGUGCUGUGGAAAUAACCAGUUUGACUCUAAAGCUGAGUGCUGCUGUUUGAUACAGAACGCUCUGAAGACACAACCCAUCAGUUCCAGCUGCUGCGUGAAGGAGUCAGGUCGAUGUGAUGAGGCCCCUCCUGUGUAUAACCCACAUACGCAUAUCUGCUGUGUUGGCUGUGUAUCCGAGCGGAAGUCUGAGUGGAAACCUUGGAUAGAUCAAUUUUAUGUCUCACAUGGACAACACUACUGCGGGACAGAACUCUAUUGGCCUCACACCCAGAUCUGCUGCAAUGGACACAGACAUCACAAAAAGGAAAACACCCACUGCUGUGGGGUAAAAGCCUACAACAUUAAAGACCCGCGGAUGAAGUGCUGUGCAUGGGCACUACACACCCUGACUAUUGGACAUGAAGGGCAGUGCUGUGGAUCCAUUCUGCAAACCUCAAUGAAUGUUUGCUGCUCGAGUGAGGACGAGGAGGUGCUCUACUCUGCAAAGACAGGAUACCGAUGCUGUGGUCACCGCUACUACAACCCCUCACUGUGGUCCUGCUGUGCAGGGAAGCUGAGUCCAGUACAGCAACCACGACAGAAUGAGAGCGAGAGGGUUAAAGAAUCCAUCCUUCUGUCAGUUAACAAUCUGAAUGAAACAAAUCUUUGCGACGAAAUGCGAAUCGGAACUUUGGAAAGUGUGUCUCCGCACAGCAUCAUGUUCGGCAACGUGCUGAAAAUCCAUGGAAGAAAUGGCAUCGUCACACAUAUGGCCUCACCUCAAAUCCUGAAAACACCUGAUCGCUGCAGCUUCCCUAAACUGAUCCCUGGGAACAACUACUUAUUUGAUGAAGUUAAUGUUUUUGCUGAUUUCCAACAUAACUCUAUUCUCCAGUCGCUCCAUUUCAUUAUUUCCAAGUGUCAUCGUCCUUAGGUCACCACUGUUACCUGUUACCAAAGCAGCGUGCAACGGUUCACUUGCUAAAUAUGCUAUUUAUACCUUUGUUAAACUUGUCUGUUAUCUACUAUCUUGCCUGCAGUAACGAAAAUGAGCUGUUAUCCACGUUUUGUGCAGAGGAUUAGCAUUAGACACUGUUGCCUAUUAUGGUCUUGAACAGAACUUGAUUUGCUCAUGAUUCCAUCUCAACUUGAUCUCAACUGCUUUUGAACUUGGACUCGAUCAAGUUCAAUUGAAUAGAUCCCUCAUCUAAUGUGUUUUUGCUUUCAGAGUAUUAUGCUAGUCUUUGUUAUUUUAUACUUACAUAUUUAAAUGAUAUAAUAAAUGACAAAUGUUUGCACACAUGUUUUUCCCUCAAAAUAAAUGACAGGAUUUAUCAUCCAAAAUAUCUGGAAUAGAUAUAUAUAAUAUAUAAUAAGACCUGUGAGUGCUUUAAGUGUUAUGUAUUUAUCUGAAUAAAC